GGAUGUGAGGGUGAUCUGGCUGCAACAUCUCUCACCCCCACCGAUCAAAAAGCUUGAUUCUGCCCGAUCUGGCUGGCUAAGCGGGUGUCCCCUUCCUCCCUCACCGCUCCAUGUGCGUCCCUCUUGAAGCUGCGCACUUGGACCAAGAGGACGGCUUUCCCCAAAUAGAGACGGACUGGUCUUCUGUCGAAGGUAUGGGAGUAGCUGUGCUCCCCUGCUAGAACCUCCAAACAAGCUCUCAAGAAAUGUUUUCAGUCUUUCCUUUUUCAUUCUGUGACCUUCAUUUCAAUGUACAACACCAUAUUUUUGAUAACCAAUGAGGUGAUACCA
This 330-nucleotide small nuclear RNA is filed under the name Erinaceus europaeus (western European hedgehog). Its description in RNAcentral is "7SK RNA (ENSEEUG00000021654.1)". It matches the Rfam family "7SK RNA". Rfam says of the family: 7SK was discovered as an abundant small nuclear RNA in the mid-70s but a possible function has only recently been suggested. Two independent studies have found that 7SK RNA binds the CDK9/cyclin T complex (known as elongation factor P-TEFb). Lineage: Eukaryota; Metazoa; Chordata; Mammalia; Eulipotyphla; Erinaceidae. The record is from RNAcentral.